RNAcentral lists this transfer RNA (76 nucleotides) under Enterobacter hormaechei. RNAcentral's name for it is "tRNA-Val". It matches the Rfam family "tRNA". Rfam says of the family: Transfer RNA (tRNA) molecules are approximately 80 nucleotides in length. Their secondary structure includes four short double-helical elements and three loops (D, anti-codon, and T loops). The record is from RNAcentral. Lineage: Bacteria; Pseudomonadati; Pseudomonadota; Gammaproteobacteria; Enterobacterales; Enterobacteriaceae.
GGGCGAUUAGCUCAGUUGGUAGAGCAUCUCCUUUACACGGAGGUGGUCGGCGGUUCGAGACCGUCAUCGCCCACCA